RNAcentral lists this ribosomal RNA (497 nucleotides) under uncultured bacterium. RNAcentral's name for it is "partial 16S ribosomal RNA". It matches the Rfam family "Bacterial small subunit ribosomal RNA", at positions 28 to 507 of the family's 1533-position model. The record is from RNAcentral.
GAUGAACGCUGGCGGCGUGCCUAAUACAUGCAAGUCGAGCGAACGGACGAGAAGCUUUCUUCUCUGAUGUUAGCGGCGGACGGGUGAGUAACACGUGGAUAACCUACCUAUAAGACUGGGAUAACUUCGCGAAACCGGAGCUAAUACCGGAUAAUAUUUUGAACCGCAUGGUUCAAAAGUUAAAGACGGUCUUGCUGUCACUUAUAGCUUGAUCAGCGCUGCAUUAGCUAGUUGGUAAGGUAACGGCUUACCAAGGCAACGAUGCAUAGCCGACCUCAGAGGGUGAUCGGCCACACUGGAACUGAGACACGGUCGCGACUCCUACGGGAGGCAGCAGUAGGGAAUCUUCCGCGAUGGGCGAAAGCCUGACGGAGCAACGCCGCGGGAGGGAUGAAGGUCUUCGGAUCGUAAAACUCUGUUAUUAGGGAAGAACAUAUGUGUAUGUAACUGUGCAGAUCUUGACGGUACCUAAUGAGAAAGCCACGGCUAACUACGUG